This 446-nucleotide ribosomal RNA is filed under the name uncultured bacterium. Its description in RNAcentral is "partial 16S ribosomal RNA". It matches the Rfam family "Bacterial small subunit ribosomal RNA", at positions 338 to 795 of the family's 1533-position model. The record is from RNAcentral.
CCUACGGGAGGCAGCAGUCGAGAAUCAUUCACAAUGGGGGAAACCCUGAUGGUGCGACGCCGCGUGGGGGAAUGAAGGUCUUCGGAUUGUAAACCCCUGUCAUGUGGGAGCAAAUUAAAAAGAUAGUACCACAAGAGAAAGAGACGGCUAACUCUGUGCCAGCAGCCGCGGUAAUACAGAGGUCUCAAGCGUUGUUCGGAAUCACUGGGCGUAAGGCGUGCGUAGGCUGUUUCGUAAGUCGUGUGUGAAAGGCGCGGGCUCAACCCGCGGACGGCACAUGAUACUGCGAGACUAGAGUAAUGGAGGGGGAACCGGAAUGCUCGGUGUAGCAGUGAAAUGCGUAGAUAUCGAGAGGAACACUCGGGGCGAAGGCGGGUUCCUGGACAUUAACUGACGCUGAGGCACGAAGGCCAGGGGAGCGAAAGGGAUUAGAUACCCCAGUAGUC